Molecule: long non-coding RNA, 542 nt
Filed under: Hordeum vulgare
Lineage: Eukaryota; Viridiplantae; Streptophyta; Magnoliopsida; Poales; Poaceae
Description: long non-coding RNA (HVUL_LNC002728)
Source: RNAcentral
GCAGGGGUACGGCGGCUCGAGGGCGGACCGCCACGCGGCGCAGACGCAACGGAGGCUCUCGUAGUCUCUCAGAGUGAGAGGCGAGCCGUCGACGGCCACCGUGGCGGCGACGGACACGACGAGCUCGCUGUUGAGAUCGGCCCAGGACCACGUGGAGGCCGCCGGCAUCGUCAUGGCGUGCACAAGGGAAGGAUCUUGCCAAUUGGCAUCGUGUCCGCACGAUUAUAUGCCAGAGAGAAAUCGCACGUACCAGACCGGGUCUCAUCAACUUCUGGAACAACCAAUCGUGGACACGUUGACGCUUGAGAAAAACUCCUUAUUUCAAACCCUUUUGUUUUUGGAAAAAAAGAGUUUUAUUGAUUCUGUGUUGCUAAAUCUCAGUCGAACGAGAUUUAGUUAUGUCUCAGACUCUUAGUUGAUGCCAUAUUCCUAAAACCUUACAUUAAGAUCCGAGGAAAAUAAAAGUUUCUUUUCUUACAUUGUACUUCUUCCGUUUCUAAAUAUAUGGCUUUUUAAAAAUUCUACUAUGAACUACAUACGGA